Myotis daubentonii (Daubenton's bat) is the source of this 1883-nucleotide long non-coding RNA. RefSeq lists it as uncharacterized. The record is from RefSeq and is a predicted model, not a curated record. NCBI's taxonomy places the organism in Eukaryota, Metazoa, Chordata, Mammalia, Chiroptera, Vespertilionidae.
CCCCUCCAGAUAUAAGGGAUUCUGGGAAACAGAUAUCUUUUCUAAAAGGUUGGAAUUGUUCGAAUGUUUCUGUAAUUGCCAGGGACCACAGUAGAGAAUAUUUGAAAUCAAAAAGCCACUAAGAAUUCAGGUUGAGUGGUCAUCUGACCUUGACAAAAGUUUUUGGCCUCUGUUUUAAGAGUCUCAGGAUUUAAGCUCUUUAUCAUCUGCGUGACAACAGACAAAGUCACAGGCAGGAGUAACUCAGAAUGCAAUAUUGUAAGUACCUAAUACAUGAGGAAGCAAUUAAGAAGAGAGAUACAGAGGAGGUAUGACCUGAACUGAGCUUUCAGGGCAUUGUAGCAGAGAGCUGCCCUAUGGGAACACCCCAACUCCGGUCCCCACUGAUGGAACUGGACCCUUGUCCACCAGCCAUGGUUGACUGGCCAGACAAACCUGGUCCAAGGGCAUCCUCCUGGGCAGUCUGAGAUCUAGGACUUGGACCAGCAUGAAAAGAUGAGCCUUGGCAAUCAGAUUCCCUCCUGGAAUCUCAAAUAGGAAAAUCAAAAUGGUAGCUCUGGGAGCACAAGCAGAUGCUGAAAGACGUGCCUUGAGGCAAAGGUGGGGCUGGAGAUCUAGGACAAGCCAAAGCCUUUGCGAUCCCAAUUCACAAGGACACAGAAAGCAUGUCAGCAGAGGAGCCCACACUCAGUAUAAGUGACAGGGGGGUUAGAAAAAGAGAGACCAUGCGGCUGAAACGAGGGGUGGAGCAGCCAGUCCCUGAGCCCACGCUGGAACUUGAUGUCUUGCCAGCUCCGGUCCCAAUCUAUGUGCAGCCUUACAGCCACUCCUUAACCUUCUUUUCCUGGUGAUUGAAUGCCGUUCCUUGCAGCCUGAAAGCUGAACUGAAACAGAGUCAACCAGGCGGAGCAGAUGGGGGGAGAAUUUGAGGAGCCCAGCGUAGCACAGAUCGCAGUAGAAAGAUCAAAUUUCUCAUGGACAACUCAGGGAAAGGCGACAGGAAACCACAGCAGGUUUGGAAAAGGAGGGCGACACCGUCCAUAUGGGAUUCAAAAAACCAUGACAGUCUUGGAGGACAUCCUGCUUCCCAGCGUUGAAGCCUGCUGGUCCCAGUCCCCCACUGACGGCCUGCGCACAUGGGGAGCAUCUGGCUGAGAACGUGAAAGCCGCCUGUGGUUGGAAGCAGAACUACCCGUUAGGAUGCUCGGAGGGAGGAGGCUCCACUCAGACCGCCUAGAAGCUAGAAAGGACAGCCAAACGCUACGAGCCCCUGCUUUCUCAGAGAAAGAGAGGAAACCCACAGGGCCAGGUGACCUGCCCAAGGUCACUCCGGUCAUCGGCGUCCCACUGAGAUACCCGGUGUGGCCGUCAUCCUCCGGGUCUGCAGGCACAGUGCCCUUUAAACGGCAGUGCCAGUUCAGUGCUGGUGUGGGGACAGAUGAGUCCCGGAGGGCACAGACCAUAUUCUUCAUUGCCCUUCAUGGGGCACGCAGCAGGCUCCGGCACAACCUCUGAAAACACAACAAGAUCAGCGUCACAUCCUCCAGCCAGCUCUGCUGCGCUUCCCGUCACAGAAAUAUGGAGAGCCGUCUUGCUGCAUUUGUAGCAAUGCUGGUGUCACCCCGUAUUGUCAGUCGCUGCCAGCCUGUCUCUACCACAUGCUGUGAUGCUGUGUGCGCCCUGAGCACAGAGACUGCGCCCCACAAUCACAGCACGUGGUCAGAGGCAGAUGCAGAAGAAAUGUUAACGAGUGGAGGUAAAGGAAGUACUUUAGUUAAAUACGUAGGGAGAGGAUUUUUAACAUUUUAAUCUUGCCCACUCAGUGUGUAAGCGUUGAGCCAGGAAGUUACGGUUCGAUUCCUAGUCAGGGCACAUACUCGAUC